Long non-coding RNA from Oxyura jamaicensis (ruddy duck), 174 nucleotides. RefSeq lists it as uncharacterized. Lineage: Eukaryota; Metazoa; Chordata; Aves; Anseriformes; Anatidae. The transcript has 3 exons. The record is from RefSeq and is a predicted model, not a curated record.
UUGUACCUGCAAUGAUGUCAUCCAUCUGCUCCAAAGCUGCUUCAAGCAUAUGACUAGCGUCAGAAGCCAUGAUCUGCGAUUUGCUCAGACUUUUACUCUUCCUACUGCCAGCGGAGCUCAAGUUUCAAAACUUUGCUCUCUCCGCGGACAAACCUCCAGGAGCCGCGUCCAUUU